Molecule: microRNA precursor, 93 nt
Filed under: Carlito syrichta (Philippine tarsier)
Lineage: Eukaryota; Metazoa; Chordata; Mammalia; Primates; Tarsiidae
Description: miRNA (ENSTSYG00000036280.1)
Source: RNAcentral
GAGGAUCGCUUGAGCACAGGAGGUCGAGGCUGCAGUGAGCUGUGAUCAUGCCACUGCACUCCAGCCUGAGUGACAGAGCAAGAUCCUGUCUCA